AUGGGCGACCUUGCACACCAAACACUUAUUUAUCCACAGAUCAGCUAAGGUACUUGCAGCAGCUCUGAAAGAUUCCCAGUUUGCCUCAACCCCACUACUUCUAAGGGUACGAAUGCGGUUCAGUCUCCAUAGCCCAUUCAAUCCUUGGCCUUU
Molecule: unclassified non-coding RNA, 153 nt
Organism: Gopherus agassizii (Agassiz's desert tortoise)
Lineage: Eukaryota; Metazoa; Chordata; Testudines; Testudinidae
Source: Ensembl